GCUGGGCGGUCGGAGUUACGAAUCGGGAACGAGUGGACCCGGUGAGAGACCCGAGACUGGGAGCAGCUCCCCGGGUAAAGGCUACAACAGCAGCCGGAGCUUUGAGCCCUUCCGAUGGCGGAUGUGAAGAUUCGGGCGGAGAUUCCGUGAGCUGUUUCAGCCACACAGGGGGUGCCCGGUCUUUCCCCGCCGAGGGUCGGGGCCUGCCGUCGGGAGUUAACUCCUGCUGCUGGGAUACGGGAGCUGGCCCGCAGCGGCUGCCGAUGGAAAUCCGGUGCUGUGAGCGCUCCCCUGUGUUAAAGGACAGGCUGAAGGCCCAGGGAGAACCAGGCGCAAAGUCAGCCACGGCUUUGUCCAUGCUGGAAUCUUUCCGGUACUACCAUGGGCUCGUGGGUUGUUAAAGCAGCCUCAUGUGUGGCAUCCGCUCAGAAGCCAUCUGAAAAUCCAGAUGCUGCCUGAGGUGCUGAGUUCCUGCAGCGUUUUGUGUGAGUCGCCUUGAAUUUCCAGCAUUUGCAGACUUUCUCCUGUUAGUUCCAGAAAUCGCCGUCCGUGACCAGACGAUCACAUGCGCAUGCGUAAGGUCGCGGUGAGUUUCGCGCGUGCGCACGGUGGACAAAAAGCUCGGAGACUCGCUGCAGAACGUAUGGACCGACCAUUUGUCUGAAAGUUAAAUGUUUAAACAGCCUGAAAACAGCACGGCAUCAACAAAACACCAGCUGUGCAGCAGCAAAGGCUGUCUGUGUGGGAACAUUUCAGUUACUGCGCAGCUCGGAAUAAUAUGGGACAGAGAAUAAUACUAAUGGAAGGAAUCAGACUGAGCUAAGUCACAGAUUGAAAUUCCCAUUCUCACACAGACAGGAAAUCUGUUGGGGAAUUAGAUGGACAGACCAGUUGCCGGCGUCAUGAGCAGUUAGAAGGUUAGAAAUGACAAAAAUUGUGUACGGGAAUUUUAAACAGAACAACAUGUCAGUUUGCUGUCUCUGCCCAGAUAUUUAAGGAGUUACUAGAUAUUUAACAAUGUAUCACUGUUGAUCCUUGGAGAUGAAGAAUUUUGUCAUCACAGCUGGAAAAGUGCUUUGUGUCUGAAAUUAAGUUUUCUGUUGUAACUCACUGAAAUCCACUGGAACCGGGGAACUGAGAACACACCAGCAUUUGUUCACUGGAGAUCAGUUCUUCAACUACUUUGAUUGUGCAAGGGGUUUACUACAUCUGAUAUUUGACUUAUGAAUUGACAAAGAACUGUGGGAAGGGAUUCACUCUUCACUCACUCAUCUCACCUGCAUGCACAACAGCGAGUUCACACUGAUAAGAUGUCUUUCACCUGCGCUGAUUGUGGGAAGGGAUUCACUCGGUCAUCCUGCCUACAGACACACCAGCGAGUUCACACUGGUGAGAAGCCAUUCACCUGCUCAGACUGUGGGAAGGGAUUCACUCAGUCAUCGCAACUGCGGAGACACCAGUCACUUCACACUGGGGAGAAGCCAUUCGCCUGCUCAGACUGUGGGAAGGGAUUCACUUGGUCAUCUGAACUGAAGAUACAUCAGCGAACUCACACUGGAGAGAGGCCAUUCACCUGUUCAGACUGUGGGAAAGGGUUUAUUCGGUCAUCUCAACUGAAGGUACAUCAGCGAACUCACACUGGGGAGAGACCGUUCACCUGCUCAGUCUGUGGGAAAGGAUUCACUCAGUCUUCUGUACUGAAGGAACAUCAGCGAAUUCACACCGCAGAGAGGCCAUUCACCUGCUCAGACUGUGGGAAAGGAUUCACUCAUUCAUCUGUACUGAAGGUGCAUCAGAGAAUUCACACUGGGGAGAGGCCGUUCACCUGCUCAGACUGUGGGAAGAAAUUCACUGACUCAUCCAGGCUACAGGCUCACCAGCGAGUUCAUACUGGAGAGAGGCCGUUCACCUGUUCAGACUGUGGGAAGGCAUUUACUCGGUCAUCUCAAGUGAUGGUACAUCAGCGGAUUCACACUGGGGAGAGGCCAUUUUCCUGCUCUGAAUGUGGGAAGAGAUUUAUUCAUUUAUCUGACCUGCAGGUGCACCAGCGAGUCCACACUGGAGAGAGGCCGUUCACCUGCUCAGACUGUGGGAAGGCAUUUACUCGGUCAGUUGAACUGAAGACACAUCAGCGAAUUCACACUGGGGAGAGGCUGUUCAUCUGCUCAGACUGUGGGAAAGGGUUUAUUCGGUCAUAUCAACUGAAGGUGCAUCAACGAGUCCACACUGGGGAGAGACCAUUCACCUGCUCAGACUGUGGAAGGGGAUUUAUUCAGUCAUCUCGACUGAUGAUACAUCAGCGUAUUCACACUGGGGAGAGACCGUACGCCUGUUCUGAUUGUGGAAAGAGAUUCAGUCAGUCAUCCGACUUACAGACACACCGACGAGUCCACACUGGAGAGAGGCCAUUCUCCUGCUCCCAAUGUGGGAAGAGAUUCUCUCAGUCAUCCCACCUUGUGACGCACUACCGAGUUCACACUGGGGAAACUGUUUAAACAGGCGACAGGCUACAGGCUGGAUAUUUCACCAUCACAGUUACUGAAUCAAGUUCAAAAGUGACUGUUGGUGCCGAACUCGGCAAUUACUGCUGCUGUUUAACAAACCCAGUUCUGCACUCUGGUCACUGGGCAUGGGAGUUAUUCCUCAGCGAAUGUUCACGUUUAAUGGGACUGGAAUUUAAUGGUUUGGAUCUGUGACGCAGAAAUCAGUUCUAAUUUAAAUCCUGUCCACACCUACAGAAUCUCCUUUCUCUCCCCAGAAUAUCAUCUCUUAUAACUGCCACAAGGGCUAAAUUUACACUUCCCUGUUAAGCUUCAGAGUGGACAGUGCUGCCGGCCUUUCUGUUGCUUCCAUGCCCCAAUGGAUCAACUCCCCACCCACUGAGCAGUAUCCAACAAGGUGUUCUGCUGUGGAGAAUGCCCACAGGACAGCCCUGCACUGUCUUCCUAAUGACCCUUACCUCUGCUGGUGGUCACGCUUCUCCUGUCCGAAGCUUGUACUCUGGGUGUGGCCACCUCUUCAGAUGUUUCAUUGAUAGUAUCUUCAGGCUCCCGAAUGAUCCUGAGUACAUCCAACUCCCUGAACCAGUCUGUGAUUGGGUGCACUUCUUGCAAAUAGUCAUCGGCAAACUGUCGGAUGUCCAGAGUUCCCACAUCUGACUGGAGGAGCAUCCCAUCCUGACUGCUCUGCACCAAAAUACACCACUGUCUGAAUGAAUUAACAUACGCAAGAAAACAUCGAACGGGAAUGGGGCAAUGACAGUGGAAGUAGAGUGUUCAAUUACCUGUGUUUUUGCCAUGAGGUCGAAGGAAUAGAGGCUGCCAUUUUGUGAAGCUGUUCUGUCACCCCCAUUUUGUGCACUGAUUGCUGUGGGAUAACCUGAUCAGAUCAACUGAACACAAGAAGUUACUGGUAUUCCCAUUGUAAGCCUGAAAUCACUCUCACAUAAUCUGUGCAUUAUGUACACUGUCGGGUUUGCAGAAGUAAUCUCGUUAUCUCUGAACCUGAAGUCACUCUGAGAUAAGGUGUGUAUUACGUACAGUGGCAGUUCUGCAGAAGGAAUCUCGAUAUUUCUGCUGAGAGUCCGAGCGACACAGUUUGUCUGUUUGGAUCCAUUGUGGAGGAGAACAAAAUAAAUUACCUUUGACAUGAUGUUGUGUAGCCCUUGGACUACAUCCAAUGGAAAUCUGUUAGUCAUCAGCCUGAUGGACCUCAGCCAACAAGAAUGAGAUGCGUCCUCUGAACUGAUAAGAGUUGUGUCAAAUGUUUCAAAUCAUGCUUGUUUCAAAACAAGUAAAGAGUUUCAAAUGCAAAGGUGUGAUAACUCCGGAGACUAACUAUCACAAGGAAGAACCCCCAUGGAAGGGAUAGGAGAAGAAAUGAUCGAUCAUUUGGAUACAGUGGGAUCCCCUGUUUCAGUGUUGUGAAUUUGAGAAGUGGUCAGGGUGUUUAUUAAUACAGAGGCAGCAGUGGAAUUCAUGUUUCAGUUGUUAGCCUGGGGUUUUCAUUGUUACUUUGUUGUUUGUGCAGGAAAAUUAAAGAGAGAGCUGUAACAAUUACGAGUUUCCUGAUGAGGUUCCAAACUGAUCUCAGUUGAUGAACGGUGAACAUAUUUUCGCGCCCUGGGUGCACUCGAAAAGAAGGAAAAGUGGUCUGGGACCCUGGUGUCGAGUUGACCCACACAGUAGAUUAGGAUAUUAAACUGUGAAAGGGAAAGGACAGGAGGAAGAAACCAGGGAUUCAGAGGAUUUCAGAGAUUACUUUCAUCGUUAAUUAUUAAGGAAAUGGUCAAAUUAUGAGGCGUGGUUAGAAAAGUUUGACAGCCAAGGUUCCGGGACUGUGGAGGAAGAAUUGUGGAAAAUAGUUCGUGAAAAUAAGUUAAAGAAAUUACCAGGGAUUAAAAAUGUUGUAAUGUGAUGUUUGUUGGAUGAUCUAAUUGAAGUGAAGAGAGAAAAAACUGAAAUUGGCAGAGAAAUUGUGUAAGUGUAGGGAAGAGUUAGAAAUUGUGACGGAGCAGGAUCAGGUGAAUUUGAUCCACAUGAGUCAGUUUCAGGCUCAGUGUGAAAGCGUUAACAAGAGAAAAUGAGAAAACAGAAGAGGAGGAUAAACAGGCGGAUACAGAAUUAGAGAAAGGAAAAGUCAGGGUCGGGAUUUACGGCUGUUACGAAUGUCAUGAAGAAAUUGGCAGCUGAGAAGAAAGGCUGCGCUGAUCACAAGUGUUUAAAACAGAUGGAAAAUCUGCAAAGUGAACUCUCAGCUCGGAGAGGAGUGAUAUGUGCGAGGACGGACGAUGAUGGUGAUGCAGAUUGGGGUGAUUUAACGUAUGAAGAGACGCUUGUAUCACACACCGGUCACCAGUCACCUGAUGAGGUAAUCGUAGCCUUUGUCCGGGGUCAGAUAUGGUCAGGUCGUGUCCAAAUUUCAUAGAGUGUUUCAACCGUUAACCACUACUCUUUCCAGUUGGUGGAUCAGGAGUGAGGGUCAAGUCACUGCCCAACUGUUCCUGACUUCGAGCUCAACCCCUCUCUCCAGCUCCAUACCCAGUAAGGGGCUCUUUCUGCUCCCUCCCCCAUCCUGCCAGCUGCUUGCUUCUUGCUCUUUUCAUCAAGGCCCAGCACAGACAGCUACCUCCAUGCUGGCCGUGCCGGGAACCCACUACAGUCGAUCUCCAUGAGAAACAGCCACGUCUGCCAUCCUUUGUCCCUGCACUCCGGGACUAACAGUGUCAGAGCCAGGAUUAUUGGGGAAGUGGCCCGCCUCCCAGCAGGUUUUUCCGAGAGUGGGUGGAAGCUUCAACACCCAGUGCCCCAGUGGCGCCUGUAGUAAUGGAGGGACUGCAGGACACACCAGAGUCGGGGGUGUAGGGCGUUUGUGACACGUUAUUCUGUCCCCUUUGACGUGGCCCAAUUGAGUGCUUGAGCUGUGAAUGAGAGAUGAUUCUCGGAAAUUUUCCCGGUGCAUUCAGCAGAUAGGAUAACUCACGGUCUAUAUGAAACGGAGGAGGGGAAGCUAACCCUUCACUGUCUAACUUCAGCUUUCCCUUUAGCCCUGCCUGAGGAACAGGCACCCUCCCAGGGGACACGGGGUGAUUUUCAGAAGGCACCAUUAGAAGCUGCUGGACUAAUAGAGGUGACAGUGGAGGUUUUGCAUAACUGCAGACAGUGGAAAGGGAGGAACCUUCUUUAUUUGUUACGAGGUUGUGGCCGGUUUUCUCGAGUAUUUUGGGUCCUACUUUGGAUACGCAGAAUUUGACUCCGUGACAGAGUAGGAACUGGCCGAGGAACUUGGUAUCGCACAGUACCGAGGAGAGCAGAAGGGUGUGUGAAAUGAUUGCUCCAUUCAAACCCCACACAUGCUGAAGCAUGGGCUCUCAGAAGGAUGAUGCGAAUGAGGGAAAGGGAGUGAGGGAGAAAGGUACUGAGGAGGAUAAGGGGAAACAGGGUUCUAAAACGACCCUAUCACAGAACAAAGUUUGCAGUGGCAGAAUGAAGGGAGACGGGGGUGGGUGCGGCCGAUCAGUACAAACUCCACAACACCACCUAAUGGCUGGGUAGUCAACGACGUGGUUGGAAUAUCUAUGUUCCCCCCGUUGUGAAUACUGGAUCCACAAAGUAAUGAUGCAAUACUGGACACGAAGUUUAUUUUGGCAUUGAUUGCCCACAACCCAGGUGGGUUGGGACUUGUCAGCAUGUAACGAUGGCCUAUUGCCCCAAGAAGGUCAACUGUGUUACCUAUAAUAUAAUGCCCAUGGUGCUGAUGAUAAGCCACGACUUGAAUCCAGAGUUACCCAGGGGGUCUCCAAGAUACAUGUGCGUUCACCACAUGGUCGGAUGGUGCAGCUGGACCCCUUGUUGAAACUAAAGUAGGAAUCCGCCCCAUAAAAUUUCUUGCAGAUGAUACUAAGGUAGAUGGCGUUGUGGAAAGCUUGUUUCAAAGUUUACAGAAAGUUAGAAGAGUGGGCUGAACGAUGGCAGAUGGAGUUUAAUGCUGAUAAGUGUGAGGUCCUACAUUCUGGUAGGAAUAAUCCAAAUAGGACAUAAAUGAUAAAUGGCAGGACAUUGAGGAAUGCAGUAGAACCAAGGAAUAAUGGUGCAGAGUUCGCUGAAGGUGGAGUCUCAAGUGGAUAGGGUGGUGAAGAAAUCUUUUGGUAUGCUAGCCUUUAUAAAUCAGAGCAUUGAGUAAUGUUAAAAUUGUGCAAUGCAUUAGUAAGGCCGAAUUUGGAGUAUUGUGUACAGUUCUGCUCACCGAAUUAUAGGAAAGAUAUCAACAAAAUAGGCAGAGAACAGAGAAUAUUUACUAGAAUGUUACCUGGGUUUCGGCACCUAAUUUACACGGAAAGGUUGAACAAAUUACGUCUUUAUUCUUUGGAGCAUAAAGGUUUGAGUCGGGACUUGAUAGAGGUAUUUAAAAUUAUGAGGGGGAUAGAUAGAGUUGACGAGGAUAGGCUUUUUCCACUUAGAGUAGGGGAGAUUAAAACAAGAGAACAUGAUUUGAGAGUUAGGGGACAAAAGUUUAAGGGUAACACUAGGGGGUAUUUCUUUACUCAGAGAGUGGUAACUGUGUGGAAUGAGCUUCCAGUAGAAGUAGAAAUAGUAGUGUAUAUAUAUAUGGUUCAUAAUGCGGGAGAGUCUCGAACCACCCUAAACAUGGCUACAUUCAAUGCAACACAUUGGGAAACAGAAGAUGCAGUUAUUAUGAAUGAAUUUACGUGACACUCACGUGUGGGAGUACCGUUGAUAUACAUUCGAAACUUGGAGAUUUUUUAAUGUAUUUAAUCUUGUAAUGUGCUCAAUAGACCCUACAUUAUCCCAGAUUGCUUUGCUGUAUGCUAACUAAGGACGUGGAAGGAGGCGUGUGACUUUGGCUUCGAAGGACAAAAAAUAAGAUGAUCAAAAACAGAAAAGAUUUUCAAGACUUUUGACAACUUGGUUAGAGUCCCCCAAACACAAACUAAUCCAAGAGUUCAUACUCUCGAGGAGAAUGAUAACAGUAGGUGAUGCAAUACAAUUUUACAGGCUACAAUGACAUAAUUUACUUCAGUAUUAUGUUUCUCAAAUGGCUCCAUUGAAGUACAUACUUAGAGUGGGAGAAUAUUGAAUUGAUAAGAAACCACUGAAGGUUCAGUCACCUUUGUUGGGACAAACUAAUUCACAUAAACAGUCCACACAUUGCACUCGUUCAUUAUUUAAUCGCAAUCUGUCACCACGGGGAUUGCAUCUGUCUGACGUAAUUGGUUUGUAAAUAAUUUUAAAACAGCUAUUUUUAAAUCUGUUAAAAUGUGUCCCUCUGGAGUCGCUAAAUGGUAUUAAAAACCGUAGGCUUGGGCUGCCUUUACAUUUCAUUCCAAGAGAUCGCCUGUAGCACAGUGGGGACAGAUCACUGGACAGAGAAAAUGCCUGCAUUGUUCAAUAGGUACAGAAGUGUGGAGAAAAUACUGUACGUGUUCAUCGCCGUCAUUGGAGUUCCUGGUAAGUGAGCAGAGCAAUUCUUGUUUGGUAUUUCUGUGUGUUAACCAUGUGAAUCUGUUUAUGAUCAUUUGACGAGCUUCUAACUUGAUGAUCAUUGUAGAAAUAUCCGUCAGAGAUAUUGAUCCUGUCAGUUCAACACUCUGAAUUUUCAUAUUUAAUGACAAGCGGAGCUAAACUCCUGUCUCUCAUCAAACUCACGUGAUCGACUCGAACGUUGUUCUUGCCUUCAAUGACACCUUGUCCGGAGUUGUCCCAGUGUGGGGACAGGCAGCUCUCCCGCAAGGUGUGACUGGAAUGGGUUUACAUUGUAAAGUUCACUGUUUCUGAGUUAUCGAUCAGAGAGAACCCCUGGUCCUGUGUUUCAUGUCUCCCUGUGGAGUCUGUCACAGUCGGAUCCCACUGCCUGUCGGUCAAUAAUUGGGUCUGAUCAUCUGAACCAGUGUCAACGGAUCUGCUGACGAGAGUUAUCGAAUUGAACUGCGCUGUGGAAUUAAUCCAUUAACGGAGCCGCUCAGCCUCAGGUUGCUCAGUUGUUCCUGCUUUCCCUCUGAGACGCGUCGUAAAUUUUCUCCAGGACAACUCUUCGUCCUGGAGAAAAGUCUCGGCCCAAUACCAAAGUUUGUUCAAUUCCAUGUACAGAAUGUUGCCUGACCUGCUGAGUCCCUCCAGUGUUUUGUGUGUGUUCCUCUCCUCUGCAUGCCUUAUCGGCCCCAUCAUUUACGAGUUUCCAGGGGCCAGGUCAGUCACGAUUAAAUCAGUGAAACCGGCCAGGUCAGGGACAGGAAUCGUGAUCAGCACCGACCUAUGUUGUUCAUGCAGAUCGCUUUUAUCGCCGACGAUUGUCCACAAUUGUCUUAUCUCCACACUGAAGAAGGCAGGUCAGAGACAGUGUGACCAGUGUCCCAUGUUAGGUUAGCAGCCGU
Molecule: RNA transcript, 8890 nt
Organism: Hypanus sabinus (Atlantic stingray)
Lineage: Eukaryota; Metazoa; Chordata; Chondrichthyes; Myliobatiformes; Dasyatidae
Gene name: zinc finger protein 234-like
Exons: 6
Source: RefSeq, a predicted model, not a curated record